UCCGUCUUACGAGGCAGUCCCGCUAGAGUGCUCAGCAUCACCUGUUAGCAACUAACGGCAGGGGUUUCGCUCGUUAUGGGACUUAACCCGACAUCUCACGACACGAGCUGACGACAGCCAUGCAACACCUGCACAGGAUUUCUCUUGCGAGUUGGCCCCCCUUUCAGGGGGUUACAUCCUGAUGUCUAGGCCUGGUAAGGUUCUUCGCGUUGCUUCGAAUUGAACCACAUACUCCACCGCUUGUGUGAGCCCCCGUCAAUUCCUUUGAGUUUUACCCUUGCGAGCAUACUCCCCAGGCGGUGCAUUUAACGCUUUCGCUCGGGGAAAGAAUGCCUAGGCGGCAUCCUCUCCCUAAUGCACAUCGUUUACGGCAUGGACUAC
RNAcentral lists this unclassified non-coding RNA (381 nucleotides) under uncultured Planctomycetota bacterium. RNAcentral's name for it is "uncultured planctomycete contains 16S-23S intergenic spacer region". Lineage: Bacteria; Pseudomonadati; Planctomycetota. The record is from RNAcentral.